AACUCCAGUGUCCUUGUGUAUAAAACGAGGAUCAGAAAUCCACCCUCUGUGACAAUGGUGCGGUUGGGAUCACAGGAGUUCAAUAAGUGGCAAUUACCUGCUGUCACAAUAAUUAUUCUUAAUGUUUUCGGAGUUGAGGUGGAUGGCCAGGAAGGGAUUCCAAGAAGAGAGCUUCAGACGGACUCACGGUGUUCGUGUUGGGGAUGGUCUAACCCAACCACUGCAUUUUACAGAUGGGGAAACUGAGGCCCCACAGGUGGCCGAGCUUGGGUUGGUUACAUGAGGCUGAGCUGAGGAGCUGCAAAGAGGAGAACCUUUUAGGAGGUUGUGUCUGGAGCCAGUUAGCCCGGCCACGAGCUUUCAGAAAUUACAAGGCCACAAAAAUGCUUUUUGGCUGGAAGUAUCCAGAUGGGCCCCACCCAUCUUGCUUGGAGUCAGAGGCCUCCUUCUUCUCACCACCGGGCCCUGAGUUCCCAGGCUGCUACAGUGUUUUCCGCGAAGGACAGUGUUUGUGGCCACCCUGCCUCGAGCAAGUCUGCUCCCACCGCUCGCUCCGCGUCUCCGCGUCAGUCACAGAUACCGUCCCGCUGGGAAGAAACAGACUAAUACAGAGUGAACUGAACCCAGGGAUUGUGUUUCGAGGUGCCUCGUGAGGCUGACUUAACUUCUGUGUGCAGCUGAGACAUUGACUUUUUCCCUCCUCGUCAAAUUAUUAAUUAGUUGCCAUAUUGACUAAUUUCUAAGCACUCAGUCAAAUUGGGUAACCAAUCCAAUCCGGACGGGAGAACAGCAAAAAGCUUUA
Molecule: long non-coding RNA, 802 nt
Organism: Prionailurus viverrinus (fishing cat)
Lineage: Eukaryota; Metazoa; Chordata; Mammalia; Carnivora; Felidae
Exons: 3
Source: RefSeq, a predicted model, not a curated record